AAGCGUCUUUUAGGAGGUCACAUGCCAGGCACCGUGUUAGAGCACCACGUGUUUUGAAAUAUACAAAUAGUGGGAAAUGAAAUCUUUGUUCUGGAUGCAGUUAUAAUUUGGAAAGUGAGGAAAUAAAUUAUAACAAGGGGAAAAAACAGACACAGAGGGAUUGAAACGCAUAACAAUAGAGAUGAAACACGAAGAGUGACAAAUGAAGAUUGAGUGUGCACACCUUCUGGAGGAGCCCUGAUUGAGUAUUUUAAAAUACUACUAAAGUCAUGCUGUGUGACUUCUGAAGCUAGCUCCUAAGAAGUCCUUGCAGCUUCUGCCUGCGACUCUUAGAACACUUGCUUUGAAGGACUCCAGAAGCUGUGUUGAAAGUCUGAGCACUCUGAAACCACCAUGCUGUGAGGAAGCCCAAGCUAACCACAUGGGCAAAAAAGAUGCCCUCUGACUGCCACCAUUUGAGACACUCUAAUUUAGAACUGCCUCAUUGAGCCCAUGAGGCCCUGUGAAUGAUAAUAAUAAAUUGUUUUUAACCACU
Molecule: long non-coding RNA, 535 nt
Filed under: Pongo abelii (Sumatran orangutan)
Lineage: Eukaryota; Metazoa; Chordata; Mammalia; Primates; Hominidae
Description: lincRNA
Source: RNAcentral